AAUGAGAGAAUGAUAAAUCAGAUUUUCCUCUUGAUUUUAAGUUUUUUCUUCUUGAAAAAUUUUAAAUCCAACUAAAAAUGCUAUAAAUCAGGAAGAAAAAUUUAAUUUAUUAUUCUUCAAUU
This is a non-coding RNA of Gossypium raimondii (Peruvian cotton), 122 nucleotides long. NCBI's taxonomy places the organism in Eukaryota, Viridiplantae, Streptophyta, Magnoliopsida, Malvales, Malvaceae. The record is from Rfam.